RNAcentral lists this ribosomal RNA (395 nucleotides) under uncultured bacterium. RNAcentral's name for it is "partial 16S ribosomal RNA". It matches the Rfam family "Bacterial small subunit ribosomal RNA", at positions 338 to 730 of the family's 1533-position model. The record is from RNAcentral.
CCUACGGGUGGCAGCAGGGAGGAAGAUUGGGCAAUGGGCGGAAGCCUGAACCAGCCAAGUCGCGGGAGGGAUGAAGGUUCUAUGGAUUGUAAACCUCUUUUAUAAGGGAAUAAAGUGCGGGACGUGUCCCGUUUUGCAUGUACCCUAUGAAUAAGGAUCGGCUAACUCCGGGCCAGCAGCCGCGGUAAUACGGAGGGUCCGAGCGUUAUCCGGAUUUAUUGGGUUUAAAGGGUGCGUAGGCGGCCUUUUAAGUCAGCGGUGAAAGUCCGUGGCUCAACCAUAGAAUUGCCGUUGAAACUGGGAGGCUUGAGUAUGUUUGAGGCAGGCGGAAUGCGUGGUGUAGCGGUGAAAUGCUUAGAUAUCACGCAGAACCCCGAUUGCGAAGGCAGCCUGCC